Molecule: non-coding RNA, 103 nt
Organism: Hordeum vulgare subsp. vulgare (domesticated barley)
Lineage: Eukaryota; Viridiplantae; Streptophyta; Magnoliopsida; Poales; Poaceae
Source: Rfam
AAACUACUCCCUCCGUCCCAAAAUAAGUGACUCAAAAAUGACUUAACUAGUGCAAAGUUAAGUCAUUUUUGAGUCACUUAUUUUGGGACGGAGGGAGUACAUG